This 393-nucleotide ribosomal RNA is filed under the name uncultured bacterium. RNAcentral's name for it is "partial 16S ribosomal RNA". It matches the Rfam family "Bacterial small subunit ribosomal RNA", at positions 523 to 918 of the family's 1533-position model. The record is from RNAcentral.
AUACGGAGGAUCCGAGCGUUAUCCGGAUUUAUUGGGUUUAAAGGGUGCGCAGGCGGGAGAUUAAGUCGGCGGUGAAAUUUUGCAGCUCAACUGUAAGAGUGCCUUCGAAACUGGUUUCCUUGAGUGUAGAUGGAGUAGGCGGAAUUUGUGGUGUAGCGGUGAAAUGCAUAGAUAUCACGAGGAACUCCGAUUGCGCAGGCAGCUUACUAAACUACUACUGACGCUCAGGCACGAAGGCGUGGGGAUCAAACAGGAUUAGAUACCCUGGUAGUCCACGCAGUAAACGAUGAUUACUAGCUGUUUGCGAUACAAUGUAAGCGGCUGAGCGAAAGCGUUAAGUAAUCCACCUGGGGAGUACGUUCGCAAGAAUGAAACUCAAAGGAAUUGACGGGG